GACGAACGCUGGCGGCGUGCCUAAUACAUGCAAGUAGAACGCUGAAGGAGGAGCUUGCUUCUCUGGAUGAGUUGCGAACGGGUGAGUAACGCGUAGGUAACCUGCCUGGUAGCGGGGGAUAACUAUUGGAAACGAUAGCUAAUACCGCAUAAUAGUAGAUGUUGCAUGACAUUUGCUUAAAAGGUGCAAUUGCAUCACUACCAGAUGGACCUGCGUUGUAUUAGCUAGUUGGUGGGGUAACGGCUCACCAAGGCGACGAUACAUAGCCGACCUGAGAGGGGGAUCGGCCACACUGGGACUUGGACACGGCCCAGACUCCUACGGGAGGCAGCAGUAGGGAAUCUUCGGCAAUGGACGGAAGUCUGACCGAGCAACGCCGCGGGAGUGAAGAAGGUUUUCGGAUCGUAAAGCUCUGUUGUAAGAGAAGAACGAGUGUGAGAGUGGAAAGUUCACACUGUGACGGUACCUUACCAGAAAGGGACGGCUAACUACGUG
RNAcentral lists this ribosomal RNA (495 nucleotides) under uncultured bacterium. RNAcentral describes it as "partial 16S ribosomal RNA". It matches the Rfam family "Bacterial small subunit ribosomal RNA", at positions 28 to 507 of the family's 1533-position model. The record is from RNAcentral.